AGGCAUGGGCGCGGCUAUAAUGCAGUCGACGCUUUGUGGUUCAACUGAUUUGAAGAGCUUGCUCAGAUAUGACGAUGGACAUUGCAAAGAGUGGCGAACGGGUGAGUAACACGUGGGAAACCUACCUCUUAGCAGGGGAUAACAUUUGGAAACAGAUGCUAAUACCGUAUAACAAUGACAACCGCAUGGUUGUUAUUUAAAAGAUGGUUCUGCUAUCACUAAGAGAUGGUCCCGCGGUGCAUUAGCUAGUUGGUAAGGUAAUGGCUUACCAAGGCGAUGAUGCAUAGCCGAGUUGAGAGACUGAUCGGCCACAAUGGGACUGAGACACGGCCCAUACUCCUACGGGAGGCAGCAGUAGGGAAUCUUCCACAAUGGGCGAAAGCCUGAUGGAGCAACGCCGCGUGUGUGAUGAAGGGUUUCGGCUCGUAAAACACUGUUGUAAGAGAAGAAUGACAUUGAGAGUAACUGUUCAAUGUGUGACGGUAUCUUACCAGAAAGGAACGGCUAAAUACGUGCCAGCAGCCGCGGUAAUACGUAUGUUCCAAGCGUUAUCCGGAUUUAUUGGGCGUAAAGCGAGCGCAGACGGUUAUUUAAGUCUGAAGUGAAAGCCCUCAGCUCAACUGAGGAAUUGCUUUGGAAACUGGAUGACUUGAGUGCAGUAGAGGAAAGUGGAACUCCAUGUGUAGCGGUGAAAUGCGUAGAUAUAUGGAAGAACACCAGUGGCGAAGGCGGCUUUCUGGACUGUAACUGACGUUGAGGCUCGAAAGUGUGGGUAGCAAACAGGAUUAGAUACCCUGGUAGUCCACACCGUAAACGAUGAGUGCUAGGUGUUUGAGGGUUUCCGCCCUUAAGUGCCGCAGCUAACGCAUUAAGCACUCCGCCUGGGGAGUACGACCGCAAGGUUGAAACUCAAAGGAAUUGACGGGGACCCGCACAAGCGGUGGAGCAUGUGGUUUAAUUCGAAGCAACGCGAAGAACCUUACCAGGUCUUGACAUCCCUUGACAACUCCAGAGAUGGAGCGUUCCCUUCGGGGACAAGGUGACAGGUGGUGCAUGGUUGUCGUCAGCUCGUGUCGUGAGAUGUUGGGUUAAGUCCCGCAACGAGCGCAACCCUUAUUACUAGUUGCCAGCAUUCAGUUGGGCACUCUAGUGAGACUGCCGGUGACAAACCGGAGGAAGGUGGGGAUGACGUCAAAUCAUCAUGCCCCUUAUGACCUGGGCUACACACGUGCUACAAUGGCGUAUACAACGAGUUGCCAACCCGCGAGGGUGAGCUAAUCUCUUAAAGUACGUCUCAGUUCGGAUUGUAGGCUGCAACUCGCCUACAUGAAGUCGGAAUCGCUAGUAAUCGCGGAUCAGCACGCCGCGGUGAAUACGUUCCCGGGUCUUGUACACACCGCCCGUCACACCAUGAGAGUUUGUAACACCCAAAGCCGGUGGGGUAACCUUCGGGAGCCAGCCGUCUAAGGUGACAGAGAUGG
Molecule: ribosomal RNA, 1481 nt
Filed under: Weissella confusa
Lineage: Bacteria; Bacillati; Bacillota; Bacilli; Lactobacillales; Lactobacillaceae
Description: bacterial SSU rRNA
Rfam family: Bacterial small subunit ribosomal RNA
Source: RNAcentral